CUUUUGUGGGGUGCCCGAGUGGCGAACGGGUGAGUAACACGUGAGUAACCUGCCCUUGACUUUGGGAUAACUUCAGGAAACUGGGGCUAAUACCGGAUAGGAGCUCCUGCUGCAUGGUGGGGGUUGGAAAGUUUCGGCGGUUGGGGAUGGACUCGCGGCUUAUCAGCUUGUUGGUGGGGUGGUGGCUUACCAAGGCUUUGACGGGUAGCCGGCCUGAGAGGGUGACCGGCCACAUUGGGACUGAGAUACGGCCCAG
Molecule: ribosomal RNA, 256 nt
Filed under: uncultured Actinomycetales bacterium
Lineage: Bacteria; Bacillati; Actinomycetota; Actinomycetes; Actinomycetales
Description: partial 16S ribosomal RNA
Rfam family: Bacterial small subunit ribosomal RNA
Source: RNAcentral